Long non-coding RNA from Myxocyprinus asiaticus (Chinese sucker), 3037 nucleotides. RefSeq lists it as uncharacterized. The transcript is spliced from 5 exons. Lineage: Eukaryota; Metazoa; Chordata; Actinopteri; Cypriniformes; Catostomidae. The record is from RefSeq and is a predicted model, not a curated record.
AUGAGAAUUUUAAGUUUAAAUCUCUGCCAAUAUCCAUAAAAUACCAAAACCCAAGUUAUAUAAUAGAUUAUACAGUUUACUGCAUCCAAUAUACUGGAGAAACAUAAUGUCUAGAUUGACUGUCUAUCUAUAGUGACUGUUUACUCAGCAUGAUUGAAAUCCACUUUGUUUUGAGAGUAGCCUACAGAUGUUUGACUAGUAAAUGCAAAUCAAAAGUUAUUUAUGGCUCCCAGUCCACCUAUAUCUCUCAGUACACACAUCUAGAGUACACUGACAUCCAUGUCCACUGCUACUUCAAAAAUGUAGCUGCUAUUUCCUAACUUUGUGAGGAACCUUAGAUGCGCCAAUUUGCAUACAGUAUGAUGUAAUAUUUACUCAAUGUCCUUUCAUUUUGAGGAUCUAAAGAGACUGGACUGAAAGUGUAGCUAUCCUUUAGCUUUUCCAGCUACUACAAGUCUAAGAUCAAAAGAUCUAUAUUCACAGGUUACCAGUGUAAGACCCCUCAGGAAUAGAGGGUUUGCAAUUUCUGAGGUAAACAGCAGGUAACUAAGUACUUCCUGUCUGUUAGCAGAGCUGGCGUGAGUGAAGGCUGAAGAAAAAGGGGGUGGGGCUCACUGCUCUUUUCUCCCUCACAAGCAUCAGGCAUCUCUAGCACAAAAGCUCAGCUAAAUCAGAUGUUAACACGUAUGCAUUGAACAUUGAAAACAAUUAUUAUGUUCAAUACUAAGGGUCCAAGGUGUGAACAACUGGUGCUGAACUAGAGGGAUUUCACGUGACUUCAAAAUGAAUGGGAGAAAUUGGAACAACCAUUAUGGCGAGUGUUGAAAAGGAAGUCCCGCCUUGCAGAUAGGAGCUGUACUGUUAUGCUGCUUGUAUUUAUUGAAAAUAGCUGCCCGGGAGGGUUCCCAAGAUGGCUGCCGAGUGGACUGACUUGCCUUGAAAGUGACUUUCUUUAGCCUUAUUCACAAAGCUGUCGUGGGUGAGAUUAUGCCCCAUGUGCCUUUGACGAGACGGCUUGCUCUGCACUAGUGCAUUAAUCCACAUUCCUCACACUGCAAGUUCAAAGUGCACGCUCGCUCUGCUGAUCAUGUUCCGAACUGGCCUGGGAUUUGAGAGAUUCUUGAAAGGUUGAAGGCACAAGGCAUUGCUGAAACCCCCCAAAAUAUGACACCUCCCCUCUUUAGACACACCACUCAAAAACUAAUUUUCAUUUAAUGCUGUACAAUGCAAAAAAGAUUAAACAACAGAGGUCAGACCUGUUUUGAGAGAGCUAGAACACUGAUGCUGGCCUUAUUUUUUAUUAAGCUAAGUUAAUGGGUUUUGCUGUUUUAUUUUUCCUUUAACAUGUUUUAUUUGUCUGCAGGCACACUGGACUCCCUCCAGUUUCUAAGACUCUCAUUAAACACUUUGAUAUUAUCUGACAUGUUUGAGCAGGCACAUUUUAACAACACUUCACAGUAUGAGAAUGUACUGUAAGUAAGAAACAUGCUGCCGGUUAUUGUUAACAGCUCAUAAACAUUUGCGAUUCCAAUGGAGAGGAUCAUAAAUAUAUCCGAAUAUGAUUCCAAACACUGGAAUCCUGACAACCACGAGACCCUCGUGAAUUGAUUACCAAUUCAUAAACAUGCUUCACUCUAUGUUAUAACCACAGAUGUACAGUUGAAGUCAGAAGUUUACAUACACCUUAGCCAAAUACAUUUAAACUUAUUUAAACAAUUCCUUACAUUUAAUUGUAGAAAACUUUCCCUGUCUUAGGUCAGUUAGGAUCACUACUUUAUUUUAAGAAUGUGAAAUGUCAGAAUAAUAGUAGAGAGAAUUAUUUAUUUCAGCUUUUAUUUCUUUCAUCACAUUCCCAGUAGGUCAGAAGUUUACAUACACUUUGUUAGUAUUUGGUAGCAAUGCCUUUAAAUUGUUUAACUUGGGUCAAACGUUUUGGGUGGCCUUCCACAAGCUUCUCACAAUAAGUUGCUGGAAUUUUGGCCCAUUCCUCCAGACAGAACUGGUGUAACCGAGUCAGGUUUGUAGGCCUCCUUGCUCGCACACACAUUUUCAGUUCUGCACACAAAUUUUCCAUUGGAUUGAGGUCAGGGCUUUGUGAUGGCCACUCCAGUACGUUGACUUAGUUGUCCUUAAGCCAUUUUGCCACAACUUUGGAGGUAUACUUGGGGUCAUUGUACAUUUGGAAGACCCAUUUGCAACCAAGCUUUAACUUCCUGGCUGAUGUCUUGAGAUGUUGCUUCAAUAUAUCCACAUGUCGAUGUAGGACUCGUUUUACUGUGGAUAUAGAUACUUGUCUACCUUUUUCCUCCAGCAUCUUCACAAGGUCCUUUUUGUUCUGGGAUUGAUUUGCACUUUUCGCACCAAACUACGUUCAUCUCUAGGAGACAGAAUGUGUCUCCUUCCUGAGCGGUAUGAUGGCUGCGUGGUCCCAUGGUGUUUAUUCUUGCGAACUAUUGUUUGUACAGAUGAACGUGGUACCUUCAGGCAUUUGGAAAUUGCUCCCAAGGAUGAACCAGACUUGUGGAGGUCCACAGUUUGUUUCUGAGGUCUUGGAUGAUUUCUUUUGAUUUUCCCAUAAUGUCAAGCAAAGAGGCACUGAGUUUGAAGGUAGGCCUUAAAAUACAUCCACAGGUACACCUCCAAUUCAGUACACCUCCUAUCAGAAGCUAAUUGGCUAAUUGUCUAAAGGCUUGACAUCAUUUUCUGGAAUUUUCCAAGCUGCUUAAAGGCACAGUUAACAUAGCGUAUGUAAACUUCUGACCUACUGGAAUUGUGAUAUAGUCAAUUAAAAGUGAAACAAUCUGUCUGUAAACAAUUGUUGGACAAAUUACUCAUGUCAUGCACAAUGUAGAUCUCCUAAAGGACUUGCCAAAACUAUAGUUUGGUAAUAUUAAAUCUGUGGAAUGGCUGAGUAUUAAUGACUUCAACCUAAGUGUAUGUAAACUUCUGACUUCAACUGUAUUUUGCAGCACUAGUUAGUGAAGGGUGUGUAUUACACACAGAAAAGUUUUUAUAUAUAUGUAUAUAUAUAUAUAUA